Molecule: ribosomal RNA, 273 nt
Filed under: uncultured bacterium
Lineage: Bacteria
Description: partial 16S ribosomal RNA
Rfam family: Bacterial small subunit ribosomal RNA
Source: RNAcentral
UACGGGGGGGGCAAGCGUUGUCCGGAUUUACUGGGCGUAAAGGGCGUGCAGGCGGAUAGAUCAGUCGAGGGUGAAAUCCUACAGCUUAACUGUAGAACUGCCUUUGAUACUGUCUAUCUUGAGUUCGGGAGAGGGAAGCGGAAUUCCUGGUGUAGCGGUGAAAUGCGUAGAUAUCAGGAAGAACACCGGUAGCGAAGGCGGCUUCCUGGCCCGAUACUGACGCUGAAGCGCGAAAGCGUGGGGAGCAAACAGGAUUAGAUACCCCAGUAGUCC